RNAcentral lists this ribosomal RNA (529 nucleotides) under uncultured bacterium. RNAcentral's name for it is "bacterial SSU rRNA". It matches the Rfam family "Bacterial small subunit ribosomal RNA", at positions 8 to 526 of the family's 1533-position model. The record is from RNAcentral.
AGAGUUUGAUCCUGGCUCAGAACGAACGCUGGCGGCAUGCCUAACACAUGCAAGUCGAACGGCAGCACAGCAGUAGCAAUACUGUGGGUGGCGAGUGGCGGACGGGUGAGUAAUGCAUCGGGACCUACCCAGACGUGGGGGAUAACGUAGGGAAACUUACGCUAAUACCGCAUACGUCCUACGGGAGAAAGCAGGGGACCUUCGGGCCUUGCGCGGUGAGACGAACCGAUGUUCGAUUAGCUAGUUGGUAGGGUAAUGGCCUACCAAGGCGACGAUCGAUAGCUGGUCUGAGAGGAUGAUCAGCCACACUGGAACUGAGACACGGUCCAGACUCCUACGGGAGGCAGCAGUGGGGAAUAUUGGACAAUGGGCGCAAGCCUGAUCCAGCAAUGCCGCGUGUGUGAAGAAGGCCCUCGGGUUGUAAAGCACUUUUAUCAGGAACGAAAUACCACGGGUUAAUACCCUAUGGGGCUGACGGUACCUGAGGAAUAAGCACCGGCUAACUUCGUGCCAGCCGCCGCGGUAAUAC